UACGAAGGGGGGCUAGCGUUGCUCGGAAUUACUGGGCGUAAAGGGCGCGUAGGCGGAUAUUUUAAGUUUAGAGGUGAAAGCCCAGGGCUCAACCCUGGAAUAGCCUUUAAUACUGGAUAUCUUGAGUUCGGGAGAGGUGAGUGGAACUCCGAGUGUAGAGGUGAAAUUCGUAGAUAUUCGGAAGAACACCAGUGGCGAAGGCGACUCACUGGCCCGAUACUGACGCUGAGGCGCGAAAGCGUGGGGGAGCAAACAGG
RNAcentral lists this ribosomal RNA (257 nucleotides) under uncultured bacterium. RNAcentral describes it as "partial 16S ribosomal RNA". It matches the Rfam family "Bacterial small subunit ribosomal RNA", at positions 524 to 776 of the family's 1533-position model. The record is from RNAcentral.